RNAcentral lists this ribosomal RNA (253 nucleotides) under uncultured bacterium. Its description in RNAcentral is "partial 16S ribosomal RNA". It matches the Rfam family "Bacterial small subunit ribosomal RNA", at positions 524 to 776 of the family's 1533-position model. The record is from RNAcentral.
UACGUAGGGGGCAAGCGUUGUCCGGAUUUAUUGGGCGUAAAGAGCGUGUAGGCGGCUUUACAGGUCCGUUGUGAAAACUCGAGGCUCAACCUCGAGACGCCGGUGGAAACCGUAAGGCUAGAGUCCGGAAGAGGAGAGUGGAAUUCCACGUGUAGCGGUGAAAUGCGUAGAGAUGUGGAGGAACACCAGUGGCGAAGGCGACUCUUUGGCCUGUAACUGACGCUGAGGCGCGAAAGCGUGGGGAGCAAACAGG